GAUGCCAAGACGGUCUGCUACCCGCACCCAAGGACA
Molecule: transfer RNA, 36 nt
Filed under: Mycteria americana (wood stork)
Lineage: Eukaryota; Metazoa; Chordata; Aves; Ciconiiformes; Ciconiidae
Description: partial tRNA-Phe
Source: RNAcentral